Molecule: ribosomal RNA, 1087 nt
Filed under: Memnoniella dichroa
Lineage: Eukaryota; Fungi; Ascomycota; Sordariomycetes; Hypocreales; Stachybotryaceae
Description: SSU rRNA
Rfam family: Eukaryotic small subunit ribosomal RNA
Source: RNAcentral
AAGAUUAAGCCAUGCAUGUCUAAGUAUAAGCAAUUAUACAGCGAAACUGCGAAUGGCUCAUUAUAUAAGUUAUCGUUUAUUUGAUAGUGCCUUACUACUUGGAUAACCGUGGUAAUUCUAGAGCUAAUACAUGCUACAAACCCUGACUUCGGAAGGGGUGUAUUUAUUAGAUUAAAAACCAAUGCCCUCUGGGCUCCUUGGUGAAUCAUGAUAACUUCACGAAUCGCACGGCCUUGUGCCGGCGAUGGCUCAUUCAAAUUUCUUCCCUAUCAACUUUCGAUGUUUGGGUAGUGGCCAAACAUGGUUGCAACGGGUAACGGAGGGUUAGGGCUCGACCCCGGAGAAGGAGCCUGAGAAACGGCUACUACAUCCAAGGAAGGCAGCAGGCGCGCAAAUUACCCAAUCCCGAUUCGGGGAGGUAGUGACAAUAAAUACUGAUACAGGGCUCUUUCGGGUCUUGUAAUCGGAAUGAGUACAAUUUAAAUCCCUUAACGAGGAACAAUUGGAGGGCAAGUCUGGUGCCAGCAGCCGCGGUAAUUCCAGCUCCAAUAGCGUAUAUUAAAGUUGUUGUGGUUAAAAAGCUCGUAGUUGAACCUUGGGCCUGGCUGGCCGGUCCGCCUCACCGCGUGUACUGGUCCGGCCGGGCCUUUCCCUCUGUGGAACCUCAUGCCCUUCACUGGGUGUGCUGGGGAAACAGGACUUUUACUUUGAAAAAAUUAGAGUGCUCCAGGCAGGCCUAUGCUCGAAUACAUUAGCAUGGAAUAAUAAAAUAGGACGUGUGGUUCUAUUUUGUUGGUUUCUAGGACCGCCGUAAUGAUUAAUAGGGACAGUCGGGGGCAUCAGUAUUCAAUUGUCAGAGGUGAAAUUCUUGGAUUUAUUGAAGACUAACUACUGCGAAAGCAUUUGCCAAGGAUGUUUUCAUUAAUCAGGAACGAAAGUUAGGGGAUCGAAAACGAUCAGAUACCGUUGUAGUCUUAACCAUAAACUAUGCCGACUAGGGAUCGGACGAUGUUAUUUUUUGACUCGUUCGGCACCUUACGAGAAAUCAAAGUGCUUGGGCUCCAGGGGGAGUAUGGUCGCAAGGCUG